Molecule: long non-coding RNA, 490 nt
Filed under: Homo sapiens (human)
Lineage: Eukaryota; Metazoa; Chordata; Mammalia; Primates; Hominidae
Description: non-protein coding CPEB2-DT:27
Source: RNAcentral
GUGAAAAGAACAGAAAAUAUAUCCAUUAUUCUGUACAUCCUCACAGAGGCUGUAAAUAAAUACUGUUGACAUUAGUUAUGAUAAUUCCCAACCCUAAUUAUCUGGGCAGAGUCAUAAACAGUGAGACUGUAGGCUGAAACUGACCUACUAAAUUGGAAUCCUACUUGCUGCAAUAUGACCUUGCCGGGCUGGUCAUCGGUGGAGCCUUGUGAUCUAUACAGAAUAUUGAGCAUUAGUCGCAGUAGCGAAGACACGGAAACAACCUAAGUGUUCACCAACAGAUGAAUGGAUGAAGCAAAUGUAGCAUAUAUACACAGUGGAAUACUAUUCAGCCUUUAAAAAGAAGGAAAUCUGGCUAACUGCAACAACAUGGAUGAACCUGGAGGAUAUUAUAUAAGUGAAAUAAGCCAGGCAUGGAAAGGUAAAAACUGAAUGUUCUCACUUAUAUGUGGAAUCUAACACAAUCAAAUUCAUGGAAGCUGGGAAUAGA